AUUGAACGCUGGCGGCAUGCUUUACACAUGCAAGUCGAACGGCAGCGCGGGCUUCGGCCUGGCGGCGAGUGGCGAACGGGUGAGUAAUGCAUCGGAACGUGCCCAGUAGUGGGGGAUAGCCCGGCGAAAGCCGGAUUAAUACCGCAUACGACCUGAGGGUGAAAGCGGGGGACCGAAAGGCCUCGCGCUAUUGGAGCGGCCGAUGUCGGAUUAGCUAGUUGGUGGGGUAAAGGCUUACCAAGGCGACGAUCCGUAGCUGGUCUGAGAGGACGACCAGCCACACUGGGACUGAGACACGGCCCAGACUCCUACGGGAGGCAGCAGUGGGGAAUUUUGGACAAUGGGGGCAACCCUGAUCCAGCCAUGCCGCGUGCGGGAAGAAGGCCUUCGGGUUGUAAACCGCUUUUGCUCGGGAAGAAAUCCUCUGGGCUAAUACCCCGGGGGGAUGUCGGUACCGGAAGAAUAAGCACCGGCUAACUACGUG
This 484-nucleotide ribosomal RNA is filed under the name uncultured bacterium. RNAcentral's name for it is "partial 16S ribosomal RNA". It matches the Rfam family "Bacterial small subunit ribosomal RNA", at positions 28 to 507 of the family's 1533-position model. The record is from RNAcentral.